RNAcentral lists this long non-coding RNA (551 nucleotides) under Capsicum annuum. Its description in RNAcentral is "long non-coding RNA (CANN_LNC009667)". Lineage: Eukaryota; Viridiplantae; Streptophyta; Magnoliopsida; Solanales; Solanaceae. The record is from RNAcentral.
UGAUGAAAUAGCAAUUCAGGAGCCCGCCUGAAGAAUAGGGUGAAGAAAGAGUUAAUUAGGAGCCCGCCUGGAGAAUAGGAUGAUGAAAUUUUCAGUCAGGAGCCCACCUGGAGAAUAGGUGAUGAAAUUGCAAGUCAAGAUCCCACCUGGAUAAUAGGGUGAUGAAAUAGCAAGUUAGGAGCCCACUUGGAGAAUAACGUAAUGAAAUUGCAAGUCAGGAGCUCACUUGGAAAAUAGAGUGAUGAAAAAGCAAGUCAGGAGCCCGCUUGGAGAAUAGAGUGAUGAAAUUACAAGCCAUGAGCACGAUUAGAGAAUAGAGUGAUGAAAUAGUAAGUCAGGAGCCCGCAUGGAGAACAGGAUGAAGAAAUAGAAAGUCAGGAGACUUCCUGGAGAAUAGGGUGAAAAAAUUAAAAGUCAGGAGCCUGCACGGAGAACAGGGUAAGGAAAUUGCUAGUCAAGAGACCGUCUGAAGAAUAGGGUGAAGAAAUAGCAAGUUGGGAGCCCGCCUGGAGAAUAAGGUGAAGAAAUUGAUAGUCAGGAGCCAAUCUGGA